AACCAGCACCUCAAGUGGUCAGGAUGAUUAUUGGGCCUAAAGCAUCCGUAGCCGGCUCUGUAAGUUUUCGGUUAAAUCUGUACGCUUAACGUACAGGCUGCCGGGAAUACUGCAGAGCUAGGGAGUGGGAGAGGUAGACGGUACUCGGUAGGAAGGGGUAAAAUCCUUUGAUCUAUUGAUGACCACCUGUGGCGAAGGCGGUCUACCAGAACACGUCCGACGGUGAGGGAUGAAAGCUGGGGGAGCAAACCGG
RNAcentral lists this ribosomal RNA (253 nucleotides) under uncultured archaeon. RNAcentral describes it as "partial 16S ribosomal RNA". It matches the Rfam family "Archaeal small subunit ribosomal RNA", at positions 474 to 727 of the family's 1478-position model. The record is from RNAcentral.